Molecule: ribosomal RNA, 497 nt
Filed under: uncultured bacterium
Lineage: Bacteria
Description: partial 16S ribosomal RNA
Rfam family: Bacterial small subunit ribosomal RNA
Source: RNAcentral
GAUGAACGCUGGCGGCGUGCCUAAUACAUGCAAGUCGAGCGGACAGACGAGGAGCUUGCUCCUCUGACGUUAGCGGCGGGCGUGUGAGUAACACGUGGAUAACCUACCUUUAAGACUGGGAUAACUUCGGGAAACCGGAGCUCACACCGGAUAAUAUCUUGAACCGCAUUGUUCAUUGGUGAACGACGGUUUUGCUGUCACUUAUAGAUGGUUCCGCGCCGCAUUAGCUAGUUGGUAGGGUAACGGCUUACCAAGGCGACCAUGCGUAGCCGACCUGAGAGGGUGAUCGGCCACACUGGAACUGAGACACGGUCCAGACUCCUACGGGAGGCAGCAGUAGGGAAUCUUACGCAAUGGGCGAAAGCCUGACGGAGCAACGCCGCGUGAGUGAUGAAGGUCUUCGGAGCGUAAAACCCUGUUAUUAGGUAAGAACAAAUGUGUAAGGAAAUAUGCACGGCUUGACGGUACCUAAUCAGAAAGCCACGGCUAACUACGUG